UAGAUGUACCCUCCAAGGUGUUGGCCUCUUUAGAGAGAAAUGGAGAGACAAUUCUCACCAAUUUUCCCCAAAAUAAAACCCUUUUAAUCCUUAAUGAAUAUUUGGCUAUAAAGUCAUUUAUAUAGUCACUUCUUUAAGUGACCUAAAGAACCAAAACCCUAAUUCAUCACACUAUGGCCGGCCAUUUAGGGAGUUUUGGGCUUUUGGGCUUCAAUGAAUCUUUAUUCAUUAAAUUGUCAUACAACUUAAGUUAAUGGGCUUGACGUUCGAAGCCCAUUGGGCCUUAAGGUCCAAAACUAUCCCGAAGUCUUUAACGAACUUAUUCGUUUGAUUAAUUAACAUAUUAAUUAAUCCUUGCCAUAAAUAAAUGAUUAAACCAUUUAAUCAUUUACUCAUUUCCAUUUAAUCUCCAAUCUCUACCUUUUAUGGUGUGCGAUCCAUUAGGUUCCUUUUAGCGAGGUAGUGGGCGAUUAAAACCAUUUUACAUCGAUUGUGAAUUGAAACUAUUUUCAAUUCUCCCUUUAGUGAUUACACACGUUUAGGGCUUCCACAAACCAUGAGUGACACCUAGCAGCAUAUCAUGGUUACCCAAGCUAAUCAGAAGAGGUUAGAGAACCUAUUCAGUUCGGGAUUACAAAUGCAAUACGGUCUUUCUCUAAUCUAAUACUCUUGACCACAUUGUUUGGUUUGAUAGUUUAUUUGCUCAUGUCUACUAUCCAAUGUGUGUCUUGUGCUUAUAUGAUUACCUUGAAUGUGAUUCGGAACGCAUUCCCAAAUCUCAUUCAUACUCUGGCCAGAGAUUCAAAUCAUAUCAGAGAGUAUUCUCCCUCAAACGGUUUGAAGGUUAGAGAUCCCUUGUUGCGCAUUAACUUGUCUCCAUAGCUAAGUGGCUUGAACCCAACGAUGUCGUGGACACCCUCCUGAUGGAGUGACUUUGACAUAAUCAAAGAUCAAGGACUUAACCACAAGACAACUAUGAUGCCUCAGGUCAAAGGACUACUUUGCAUUAUCCCAACCAUGAGUUCUCAUGUGACAUGGAAUAUGAGAACUCUUCGUUAAUCGCGUUCAGUGAACUCAUUCUCUAUUGAGCACCUACCGUACUUGUCUUGAUGUCACACACACCAAUGAUUCGAGACUGAUCACUCUCCCUGAGAGAAGACAUAGUACGUACUGAUCUUAACGGACUGUCAAUGCCCAAUUGGCAAUCCUAUGA
RNAcentral lists this long non-coding RNA (1213 nucleotides) under Malus domestica (apple). Its description in RNAcentral is "long non-coding RNA (MDOM_LNC013473)". Lineage: Eukaryota; Viridiplantae; Streptophyta; Magnoliopsida; Rosales; Rosaceae. The record is from RNAcentral.